Long non-coding RNA from Ictalurus punctatus (channel catfish), 544 nucleotides. RefSeq lists it as uncharacterized. The transcript is spliced from 2 exons. The record is from RefSeq and is a predicted model, not a curated record. Lineage: Eukaryota; Metazoa; Chordata; Actinopteri; Siluriformes; Ictaluridae.
AAAAGAACUAGGCUGUAAUAACAUGUACUAUUUGACAUGUUGCAUUACACUCGUCUUGCGUUUUAAAAACAUUCACAUGUGAAUGAUGUAAAUUGGGAGGAAGGUCUGCGUCUCGUUAUCCAUGACAUUGUUAAAUCUCCGGUUCUCAGCCCGUCGCUGAACAGAGCAGACGCAGAGAGAGGUGAGAGUGCAGCGGGAGAGAAAGACCUCGCGCUUGCAGGACAGCACUGGGGAUAUUUGGAAAGUCGUUGAGGAUUCAAAGAGCAAGCAAAAAGGAAACCAGCCAGUUUAGAGGUUUCAGCACUUUCUCGUUAUCUCUCAGCAGCGAUGUCGGUUUUCUUCUGCCCUGAAGAACCUCUUGAGAAAGAAGAGCUGCAGAUAUCCAGCCAUGAUGAUGACAAAGCUUUGGAGGACAGACCAGGCAUUCACAUAAUAGGACUUGGACUGAAGCAGGAAGUAAUCAGCCCCUCUGCGCAUUCGUGCUACAUUAUAGAAGCGCCACAUGUGCUGGAUUCGAAGCUGUAUCUUAUUUGAAAUAUCCUGG